CCUACGGGGGGCAGCAGUGGGGAAUAUUGCACAAUGGGGGAAACCCUGAUGCAGCGACGCCGCGUGAAGGAAGAAGUAUUUCGGUAUGUAAACUUCUAUCAGCAGGGAAGAAAGUUACGGUACCUGACUAAUAAGCCCCGGCUAACUUCGUGCCAGCAGCCGCGGUACUACGUCGGGGGCAAGCGUUAUCCGGAUUUACUGGGGGUAAGGGGAGCGUAGGCGGCUAUGCAAGUCAGAAGUGAAAGCCCGGGGCUCAACUACGGGACUGCUUUUGAAACUGUAUGGCUAGAUUGCAGGAGAGGCAAGUGGAAUUCCUAGUGUAGCGGUGAAAUGCGUAGAUAUUAGGAGGAACACCAGUGGCGAAGGCGGCUUGCUGGACUGUAAAUGACGCUGAGGCUCGAAAGCGUGGGGAGCAAACAGGAUUAGAUACCCGAGUAGUC
Molecule: ribosomal RNA, 440 nt
Filed under: uncultured bacterium
Lineage: Bacteria
Description: partial 16S ribosomal RNA
Rfam family: Bacterial small subunit ribosomal RNA
Source: RNAcentral